UGCUUUACACAUGCAAGUCGAACGGCAGCACGGACUUCGGUCUGGUGGCGAGUGGCGAACGGGUGAGUAAUACAUCGGAACGUGCCCAGUCGUGGGGGAUAACGUAGCGAAAGCUACGCUAAUACCGCAUACGAUCUAAGGAUGAAAGCGGGGGAUCGCAAGACCUCGCGCGAUUGGAGCGGCCGAUGGCAGAUUAGGUAGUUGGUGGGGUAAAGGCCUACCAAGCCGACGAUCUGUAGCUGGUCUGAGAGGACGACCAGCCACACUGGGACUGAGACACGGCCCAGACUCCUACGGGAGGCAGCAGUGGGGAAUUUUGGACAAUGGGCGAAAGCCUGAUCCAGCCAUGCCGCGUGAGUGAAGAAGGCCUUCGGGUUGUAAAGCUC
This 386-nucleotide ribosomal RNA is filed under the name uncultured organism. RNAcentral describes it as "bacterial SSU rRNA". It matches the Rfam family "Bacterial small subunit ribosomal RNA", at positions 45 to 433 of the family's 1533-position model. The record is from RNAcentral.